RNAcentral lists this unclassified non-coding RNA (491 nucleotides) under Hevea brasiliensis (rubber tree). The record is from RNAcentral. Lineage: Eukaryota; Viridiplantae; Streptophyta; Magnoliopsida; Malpighiales; Euphorbiaceae.
AGCUACUUUCAUUUCUCUUCUUUGCUUCACUUCUGGUAAGGCUUAUCGGUCUUCUGGCUAGGCAUACUACUAAUCGAUUCUUUGACCCGAAACGGUCGAGCAACCGCUACAUUUCUUGAACGGUCACAGCCUACAUAACUUCUCUCCCUCUUUUCAAGGAAGUGAGUCUCAGACCUAUGUAGUUCUCGGCCCCUUUUUAACCAGUUUCUAUAGGUGCUUUCAUGGCUCUUCACUCCAGCCCUGAAGUAGUCUGGAGACCAAUCUCCCUCUUUAAUCCCUACAUAACAUAACAUAACGUGGGCCUUCCGUUAUGAGGUCGGAUCUUCAAAACAGCUCUUAGUCCUACCGCUUUCCAUUAGAUGUCUGUGCUUUCGGGUUGAGUCCCAUUGCCCUAGCGAAAUAGUCUGGUUCGCUGCCUGUUCUUUGAUCCUUUCUUUAUGAGAGAAAAAGAAACCUUCGAUCAGAAUACAAAUAAGAUCAAAAAGGCCAUC